RNAcentral lists this ribosomal RNA (301 nucleotides) under uncultured bacterium. RNAcentral describes it as "partial 16S ribosomal RNA". It matches the Rfam family "Bacterial small subunit ribosomal RNA", at positions 509 to 807 of the family's 1533-position model. The record is from RNAcentral.
CAGUAGCCACGGGAAUACGGAGGGAGCUAGCGUUGUUCGGAAUUACUGGGCGUAAAGCGCGCGUAGGCGGUUACUCAAGUCAGAGGUGAAAGCCCGGGGCUCAACCCCGGAACUGCCUUUGAAACUAGGUGACUAGAAUCUUGGAGAGGUCAGUGGAAUUCCGAGUGUAGAGGUGAAAUUCGUAGAUAUUCGGAAGAACACCAGUGGCGAAGGCGACUGACUGGACAAGUAUUGACGCUGAGGUGCGAAAGCGUGGGGAGCAAACAGGAUUAGAGACCCCCGUAGUCCCUGUCUCUUAUAC